GUAAAUGCUAUGACGAAGAGGAGUACCACGAUGCAGACCUACAGAGAGGGAGCGCAGUGAAUGUUUAUUACACACUGCUGGAAGCGCUUCCGGAUAUCUGCUUUAUGGGAAGGUAGCUUUUGAGCAGCAUCGGUGAAAGAAGAUUAUCUCGUAUGAUACUGAUUUUUGAUUAGCUGAUGACGGAUUUGUUCCCGUUACAAGGACAGACAUGGUGAACGGAUAAUAUCCGCGCCGUGACAGAGCGGACUCAUUAUGGGUCAAUGAAGGUGGUACCGCGGUAAGAUUAAUCGCCCUUCGC
This 298-nucleotide non-coding RNA is filed under the name Bacillota bacterium. RNAcentral's name for it is "Firmicutes bacterium T-box sequence". It matches the Rfam family "T-box leader". Rfam says of the family: Uncharged tRNA acts as the effector for transcription antitermination of genes in the T-box leader family. T-boxes are found upstream of many aminoacyl-tRNA synthetase genes and some amino acid biosynthetic genes usually in Gram-positive bacteria. The record is from RNAcentral. Lineage: Bacteria; Bacillati; Bacillota.